GAUGAACGCUGGCGGCGUGCCUAAUACAUGCAAGUCGAGCGAACGGACGAGAAGCUUGCUUCUCUGAUGUUAGCGGCGGACGGGUGAGUAACACGUGGAUAACCUACCUAUAAGACUGGGAUAACUUCGGGAAACCGGAGCUAAUACCGGAUGAUAUUUUGAACCUCAUGGUUCAAAAGUGAAAGACGGUCUUGCUGUCACUUAUAGAUGGAUCCGCGCUGCAUUAGCUAGUUGGUAAGGUAACGGCUUACCAAGGCAACGAUGCAUAGCCGACCUGAGAGGGUAAUCGGCAACACUGGAACUGAGACACGUUCCAGACUCCUACGGGAGGCAACAGUAGGGAAUCUUCCGCAAAGGGCGAAAGCCUAACGGAGCAACGCCGCGUGAGUGAUGAAGGUCUUCGGAUCGUAAAACUCUGUUAUUAGGGAAGAACAUAUGUGUAAGUAACUGUGCACAUCUUGACGGUACCUAAUCAGAAAGCCACGGCUAACUACGUG
RNAcentral lists this ribosomal RNA (497 nucleotides) under uncultured bacterium. Its description in RNAcentral is "partial 16S ribosomal RNA". It matches the Rfam family "Bacterial small subunit ribosomal RNA", at positions 28 to 507 of the family's 1533-position model. The record is from RNAcentral.